GAUGAACGCUGGCGGCGUGCCUAAUACAUGCCAGUCGAGCGAACAGACGAGGAGCUUGCUCCUCUGACGUUAGCGGCGGACGGAUGAGUAACACGUGGAUAACCUACCUAUAAGACUGGGAUAACUUCGGGAAACCGGAGCUAAUACCGGAUAAUAUAUUGAACCGCAUGGUUCAAUAGUGAAAGACGGUUUUGCUGUCACUUAUGGAUGGAUCCGCGCCGCAUUAGCUAGUUGGUAAGGUAACGGCUUACCAAGGCAACGAUGCGUAGCCGACCUGAGAGGGUGAUCGGCCACACUGGAACUGAGACACGGUCCAGACUCCUACGGGAGGCAGCAGUAGGGAAUCUUCCGCAAUGGGCGAAAGCCUGACGGAGCAACGCCGCGUGAGUGAUGAAGGUCUUCGGAUCGUAAAACUCUGUUAUUAGGGAAGAACAAAUGUGUAAGUAACUAUGCACGUCUUGACGGUACCUAAUCAGAAAGCCACGGCUAACUACGUG
This 497-nucleotide ribosomal RNA is filed under the name uncultured bacterium. RNAcentral's name for it is "partial 16S ribosomal RNA". It matches the Rfam family "Bacterial small subunit ribosomal RNA", at positions 28 to 507 of the family's 1533-position model. The record is from RNAcentral.